UUUCCGGUUGAUCCUGCCAGAGGCCAUUGCUAUCAGGGUUUGACUAAGCCAUGCGAGUCGAGAGGUGUAAGACCUCGGCAUACUGCUCAGUAACACGUGGUUAACCUGCCCUAAGGUGGAGAAUACUCCCGGGAAACUGGGGCUAAUGCUCCAUAGUGGAUAUGUCCUGGAAUGGUAUAUCCUCGAAAGAUCCGUCGCCUUAGGAUGGGACUGCGUCCGAUUAGGUUGUUGGCGGGGUAACGGCCCACCAAGCCAUUGAUCGGUACGGGUUGUGGGAGCAAGAUCCCGGAGAUGGAUUCUGAGACAUGUAUCCAGGCCCUACGGGGCGCAGCAGGCGCGCAAACUUUACAAUGCGAGCAACCGUGAUAAGGAAACCCUGAGUGCCUGUCGAUGCAGGCUGUUCAUAUAUCUAAAUCAUAUGUGAAGAAAGGGCAGGGCAAGACCGGUGCCAGCCGCCGCGGUAAUACCGGCUGCUCGAGUGAUGGCCACUAUUACUGGGUUUAAAGCGUCCGUAGCUUGACUGUUAGGUCUCUUGGGAAAUCUUCACGCUCAACGUGAAGGCGUCUAAGAGAUACCGGCAGUCUUGGAACUGGGAGAGGUAAACCGUACUUCGGGGGUAGGAGUGAAAUCUUGUAAUCCUCGAGGGACGACCUAUGGCGAAGGCAG
RNAcentral lists this ribosomal RNA (666 nucleotides) under uncultured archaeon. Its description in RNAcentral is "bacterial SSU rRNA". It matches the Rfam family "Archaeal small subunit ribosomal RNA", at positions 1 to 675 of the family's 1478-position model. The record is from RNAcentral.